GAUGAACGCUGGCGGCGUGCCUAAUACAUGCAAGUCGAGCGAACAGACGAGGAGCUUGCUCCUCUGACGUUAGCGGCGGACGGGUGAGUAACACGUGGAUAACCUACCUAUAAGACUGGGAUAACUUCGGGAAACCGGAGCUAAUACCGGAUAAUAUAUUGAACCGCAUGGUUCAAUAGUGAAAGACGGUUUUGCUGUCACUUAUAGAUGGAUCCGCGCCGCAUUAACUAGUUGGUAAGGUAACGGCUUACCAAGGCAACGAUGCGUAGCCGACCUGAGAGGGUGAUCGGCCACACUGGAACGGAGACACGGUCCAGACUCCUACGGGAGGCAGCAGUAGGGAAUCUUCCGCAAUGGGCGAAAGCCUGACGGAGCAACGCCGCGUGAGUGAUGAAGGUCUUCGGAUCGUAAAACUCUGUUAUUAGGGAAGAACAAAUGUGUAAGUAACUAUGCACGUCUUGACGGUACCUAAUCAGAAAGCCACGGCUAACUACGUG
This 497-nucleotide ribosomal RNA is filed under the name uncultured bacterium. RNAcentral's name for it is "partial 16S ribosomal RNA". It matches the Rfam family "Bacterial small subunit ribosomal RNA", at positions 28 to 507 of the family's 1533-position model. The record is from RNAcentral.